UGGGGAAUUUUGCGCAAUGGGGGAAACCCUGACGCAGCAACGCCGCGUGGAGGAUGAAGUCCCUUGGGACGUAAACUCCUUUCGACCGGGACGAUGAUGACGGUAUCCGGAGAAGAAGCCCCGGCUAACUUCGUGCCAGCAGCCGCGGUAAUACGAAGGGGGCUAGCGUUGUUCGGAAUUACUGGGCGUAAAGCGCACGUAGGCGGGUUUGUAAGUAGGGGGUGAAAUCCCAGAGCUCAACUCUGGAACUGCCUUCUAGACUGCAAGCCUGGAGGUCAGGAGAGGCGAGUGGAAUACCGAGUGUAGAGGUGAAAUUCGUAGAUAUUCGGUGGAACACCAGUGGCGAAGGCGACUCGCUGGACUGAUACUGACGCUGAGGUGCGAAAGCGUGGGGAGCAAA
Molecule: ribosomal RNA, 400 nt
Filed under: uncultured bacterium
Lineage: Bacteria
Description: bacterial SSU rRNA
Rfam family: Bacterial small subunit ribosomal RNA
Source: RNAcentral